CUGUGACCAGGUAGGGGUGUAUUAUCUGGGUCUGUGACCAGGUAGGGGUGUAUUAUCUGGGUCUGUGACCAGGUAGGGGUGUAUUAUCUGGGUCUGUGACCAGGUAGGGGUGUAUUAUCUGGGUCUGUGACCAGGUAGGGGUGUAUUAGCU
Molecule: long non-coding RNA, 151 nt
Organism: Oncorhynchus keta (chum salmon)
Lineage: Eukaryota; Metazoa; Chordata; Actinopteri; Salmoniformes; Salmonidae
Exons: 3
Source: RefSeq, a predicted model, not a curated record